RNAcentral lists this ribosomal RNA (372 nucleotides) under uncultured organism. RNAcentral's name for it is "bacterial SSU rRNA". It matches the Rfam family "Bacterial small subunit ribosomal RNA", at positions 526 to 896 of the family's 1533-position model. The record is from RNAcentral.
CGUAGGGUCCAAGCGUUACCCGGAAUCACUGGGCGUAAAGCGUGCGUAGGUGGCGCGUUAAGUGAGAUGUUAAAACGUGGGGCUCAACCCUGUCGGUGCAUCUCAUACUGGCGUGCUAGAGGACAGCAGAGGCAAGUGGAAUUAGCAGUGUAGCAGUGAAAUGCGUAGAUAUUGCUAGGAACACCAAUGGCGAAGGCAGCUUGCUGGGCUACUCCUGACACUGAGGUACGAAAGCGUGGGGAGCGAACAGGAUUAGAUACCCUGGUAGUCCACGCCGUAAACGAUGCAUACUAGACGUAUGGGGUAUCGACCCCCUGUGCGUCGAAGCUAACGCGAUAAGUAUGCCGCCUGGGAAGUACGGCCGCAAGGCUA